CCUACGGGUGGCAGCAGUGGGGAAUAUUGGACAAUGGGGGGAACCCUGAUCCAGCCAUGCCGCGUGUUUGAAGAAGGCCCUCGGGUUGUAAAGCACUUUCAGUGAGGAAGAACGCCUGGUGGUUAAUACCCAUCAGGAAAGACAUCACUCACAGAAGAAGCACCGGCUAACUCCGUGCCAGCAGCCGCGGUAAUACGGAGGGUGCGAGCGUUAAUCGGAAUUACUGGGCGUAAAGCGAGCGUAGGUGGCUUGAUAAGCCGGGUGUGAAAGCCCCGGGCUCAACCUGGGAACGGCAUUCGGAACUGUCAAGCUAGAGUGCAGGAGAGGAAGGUAGAAUUCCCGGUGUAGCGGUGAAAUGCGUAGAGAUUGGGAGGAACACCAGUGGCGAAGGCGGCCUUCUGGACUGAAACUGACACUGAGGCGCGAAAGCGUGGGUAGCAAACAGGAUUAGAUACCCUAGUAGUC
RNAcentral lists this ribosomal RNA (465 nucleotides) under Vreelandella stevensii. Its description in RNAcentral is "partial 16S ribosomal RNA". It matches the Rfam family "Bacterial small subunit ribosomal RNA", at positions 338 to 795 of the family's 1533-position model. Lineage: Bacteria; Pseudomonadati; Pseudomonadota; Gammaproteobacteria; Oceanospirillales; Halomonadaceae. The record is from RNAcentral.